AUUGAACGCUGGCGGCGUGCCUAACACAUGCAAGUCGAGCGGUAACAGGUGUAGCAAUACAUGCUGACGAGCGGCGGACGGGUGAGUAACGCUUGGGAAUCUGCCUAUUAGUGGGGGACAACCCGGGGAAACUCGGGCUAAUACCGCAUACGCACUACGGUGGAAAGCCGGGGACCGCAAGGCCUGGCGCUAACAGAUGAGCCCAAGUCGGGUUAGCUAGUUGGUAGGGUAACGGCCUACCAAGGCGACGAUCCGUAACUGGUCUGAGAGGACGACCAGUCACACCGGAACUGAGACACGGUCCGGACUCCUACGGGAGGCAGCAGUGGGGAAUAUUGGACAAUGGGCGAAAGCCUGAUCCAGCGACGCCGCGUGGGUGAAGAAGGCCUGCGGGUUGUAAAGCCCUUUCAGUGGGGGAAGAAAAGCCUCGAGCUAACACCUCGGGGUCUUGACGUAACCCAUAGAAGAAGCACCGGCUAACUCUGUGCCAGCCGCGGUAAG
This 501-nucleotide ribosomal RNA is filed under the name uncultured bacterium. RNAcentral's name for it is "bacterial SSU rRNA". It matches the Rfam family "Bacterial small subunit ribosomal RNA", at positions 29 to 524 of the family's 1533-position model. The record is from RNAcentral.